UACGAAGGGGGCUAGCGUUGCUCGGAAUCACUGGACGUAAAGCGCACGUAGGCGGCUUUUUAAGUCAGGGGUGAAAUCCUGGAGCUCAACUCCAGAACUGCCUUUGAUACUGAGAAGCUUGAGUCCGGGAGAGGUGAGUGGAACUGCGAGUGUAGAGGUGAAAUUCGUAGAUAUUCGCAAGAACACCAGUGGCGAAGGCGGCUCACUGGCCCGGUACUGACGCUGAGGUGCGAAAGCGUGGGGAGCAAACAGG
This 253-nucleotide ribosomal RNA is filed under the name uncultured bacterium. RNAcentral's name for it is "partial 16S ribosomal RNA". It matches the Rfam family "Bacterial small subunit ribosomal RNA", at positions 524 to 776 of the family's 1533-position model. The record is from RNAcentral.